GACGUAGGGCGCGAGCGUUGUCCGGAUUUAUUGGGCGUAAAGAGCUCGUAGGCGGCUUGUCGCGUCGUCCGUGAAAACUUGGGGCUCAACCCCAAGCUUGCGGUCGAUACGGGCAGGCUCGAGUUCGGUAGGGGAGACUGGAAUUCCUGGUGUAGCGGCGGAAUGCGCAGAUAUCAGGAGGAACACCGAUGGCGAAGGCAGUUCUCUGGGCCGUAACUGACGCUGAGGAGCGAAAGCGUGGGGAGCGAACAGG
Molecule: ribosomal RNA, 253 nt
Filed under: uncultured bacterium
Lineage: Bacteria
Description: partial 16S ribosomal RNA
Rfam family: Bacterial small subunit ribosomal RNA
Source: RNAcentral